Molecule: RNA transcript, 3975 nt
Organism: Dermacentor silvarum
Lineage: Eukaryota; Metazoa; Arthropoda; Arachnida; Ixodida; Ixodidae
Gene name: solute carrier family 35 member E3
Exons: 6
Source: RefSeq, a predicted model, not a curated record
UGUCUUUGAGGCUUGAGGUGCAGUUGAGGUUUCAGUAGGUGUCGUAGACGUACAGACGCCUCUUCCGUUCUGAACAUUCAGAACUUCUGGACGUAUUCGAAGAGAUGGCUGCGAUGCGGUCGGCGUUUGUUUUCGAUGAUUGAACUGCACAAGGUCCGCAUCUUCGAUGACCGCGAUGACACAAGACGGGAAAGACGCGUCGGCGAUCGCCGGCAACCGCUUCACGGCACUGUGCCUGUCGUGGAACGUGGUAUUGUCAAUUCUCAUUGUGAUUCUAAACAAAUGGGUGUACGUGUACGUCAACUUCCCGAACGUUACCAUGACCAUGUAUCAUUUUGUGAUGACAUUCGUGGGUCUGCUAGUGUGCCGCGCACUCAAUGUGUUCCAAGUAAAGAAGCUCCCGCUGCGUCAGAUGUUGCCUCUCGCGACGACGUUCUGCGGCUUCGUCGUUCUCACCAACCUCUCCCUGGGUCACAACACGGUGGGGACCUAUCAGAUCAUCAAGACCCUCACCAUGCCGACCAUCAUGAUCAUCCAGCACUACUGGUACAACAAGAACUUCUCGAUGGGCGUCAAGCUCACACUGGUGCCAUUGACAUUGGGCGUGUACCUCAGCAUCUACUAUGACAUCCGCUUCAACAUCCUUGGCACCUGCUAUGCCCUGGCCGGUGUGGUUGUCACCUCCCUCUACCAAGUGUGGGUGGGCGAGAAGCAGAAGGAGUUCCAGGUGAACUCGAUGCAGUUGUUGUUCUACCAGGCACCUCUCUCCGCACUAAUGCUGAUGGUGCUGGUGCCCCUGAUCGAGCCACCAUGGGCUCCCGGAGGGUUCCUCUACCAGUCCUGGAGCCAGCUGCAUCUGAUGCUGGUGCUGAUGACAGGUGUGGUGGCCUUCCUGGUGAACUUGUCCAUCUACUGGAUCAUAGGCAACACGUCCGCAGUCACCUACAACGUGGUGGGCCAUUUGAAGCUGAUGCUGGUGCUAGUUGGUGGCUUCCUCGUCUUCCAGGACCCCAUACACACCGAACAGGCCAUCGGCAUUGUGCUCACACUGGCAGGCGUGCUGCUGUACACGUACAUCAAGGUGCAGCAAUGUGCAAAGGAGAGGCCGGUGGGAGCCAAAGCCACGAUGGCAUAGCCAUUGCAGUCACUCUUAGUCUCUGAUGUGGGCUACUCCACCAGGGUCAUGAGUCAUUCGUACGCACAUGUGGGACACUCACUGCGGUGACUAGUGGUACAGACAGCUCGUUGCCAGGAAUAAGGCUACUGGUCGAUUUCCCAGCCAAAGUGCGCGCAUUCCAGCGUCCAUUGCAAUGCAUAUAUGCAAAGGUGCUGUAAAUCUUAGCCUAAGAGGUGGGCUACUCCACUCGGGUCAUGUAUCAGCCAUACGCACAGGUGAGGUACCCAUUUACGGACACCGACAGUCUGUUGUGAAGAACAAGGUUGCGGGUUCAUCUCCCAGCUGCUGUGCACACAUUCCAGUGCCUGUUUCAAUGCACAAAUGACCUUGUGCCGAGAUUUUGGCAUACAUCGAGAAGUGCCAAGAAAACAGUUGAGCCCAGAUACAACUAAGGUGUUCGUUGCACAAAAUGUACUCGUUAUAGUUGCACUUUCCCUCAAAACUACCAAUAGAGAAGAGAAAAAGGUACAGAAGGAGCUGCUUUAUUUCUAAAAAUGAUGUGCACUGUGCUUACACUGGCAGAAAUCAGUGACUGAGGCCUGUUUCAGGAGUGUCGAACCGAUAACAGCACUCUCCAGUUUUCACAAGCUGUGGACGUUGUCAUAGGUCAGGCCCCUUUCAUGUACCAAAUUUUGGAGUGAGGCUAAGCAGCUUAAGACAUGUCAGUGUCGGCACCACUGUAGGGCACAGUUGGAGGCUUGCAAGUUUCUAAGUCAUCCUCAUCACUGGAGAUCUCCAUGUCCGAAAGUUGUCGCACCCUUCCAACAAUUGCUUCAAGAGAUUCAACAGUCUCCAAGAGAUUUAUGUGAUCAUCAGCAUUAACAGUUAUCUCAUGGCUGCAGUCGGCAAGAUUUGAGUUGAUGCCCUGUGUCCAUAAGGCUGAGUAGGAGGAAAUGUGAGCUUUCCGGAAGCAGUUUUUUAAUUCUUGCAGGCUUGACCUCCAUCCAUGAUGCGUUCAGCAUUUUCGUUCUGUCUAAAUCUGAGAUCUGAGGACAUGCUUUUUGUUGUAUGUGGGCAUGCUAGCAGUGCAGUGUCCACUAUCAUCAUCACCACCAUGCCGGCCACAAUCAUCAUUGGGACAGCUAGGCUCGAGGGCAUGGACUCUGGUACUACUGGCUUACCAUGUAGUCUUGCGAGGACAAGCAGGUUCUCAGCCCUCAAUAAAUAUUAGUCCUAUUAGUACAUAGUCCUUCCCUUUCCUCAGUUACGCAACACCCUUGACUGGCAGGUUCACCAAUUCGUUACGAUUGUAGACUUCGAAAAUCUAUAUUUGUUGCUCAUUUUGCCAUUCUCAGCACCAUUGGCGAGCACUUUAACAAUUGAAUCUUUAGUGCCGGUGUCAAUUGCAUUUUUCUUAAUUUAUGUCAGGGCUCCUUCCAACGUUGCGAUCGAUGUGUGAAGAAAUAAAGAAAUGCUGCUUGCCUGAAACUGAGUUGGAAGCUUUCUCCAGAAAAAGAAUUGUUCCUCGCUGCUCGGGAGUGCUUAAAGAAAAGGGAAGAGAGACGAUGCACCACAAAGCUGUGAUUGCUUGUGUGUCAUGAUUGCAGCAGCACUUGCUCCAGUAAAAAAAAAAAACAAUUACUGAACAAGGAAGAAAAGUGGUAUGUGGCACAGCAGUGCUGGUUCGUCAGGGUGCUGCCCCGCCACAAUUCAUUCUGUUUGUAACUGAUCUGACCAGUGUGCCCAAUCGUUACAAGUGAAUGGCUCUCUCAUAGAGUCCUUGCAAAACAUUUUCAGUGUAGAGAAACUGUUUUUAGUAGCCAGACGUUCAUUCCAAAUCGAAUCAUAUGCGGCCUCGACUGUACUAGAAAUUAGCUUGAAACUCUCUACUACAAUGGCAUUUAUGCCACAGUUGCACAUUUGUCACUGGAAAACCACUCAGUGCCAUAAAUACUGGCGGAAACAUCGCAAUGUGAUCGCUGCAGGACUGCUCAUUAAAUGCCAAAGAAUCUGAAAAAGGAGUGUGCAUCCAUCUUCAGCCUGCAGUCUGAGCGAUGCAAACACGCAAUACUAUGCAUGUGUCGUGGCUUCAGUUCCCACCUACAGUAUGUAGACUUAGUAUGAGCUCUCUGGUCCCAAGUGUUUCUGAUUAUGAGUUGUUUCUGUGAUGAUAGAGAGAGAGAGAAAAAGGAAAGGCAGAGAGGUUAACCAAGGUGUCACCCGGUUGGCUGCCCUACAUGUGGGGAAGGAAAAAGGGGGAAAGGGUGAUUGGGGGUUACUUAAAAUGUUUUUAAGUUCCAGGUGUAGAAAAAAAAGGGGGGACCUCAAUAAAAAUUAGUCCUAUUAGCAAUAGGACUAAUAUUGCUAAUAGGACUAAUACUUGAGUUAAGUUAGGAUUGAGUUAAGAUGUUACCCUUUCCUAUCGACCAUGUUGGGAAUUUAAGCAGAAAACUUUUAGUAGCACUUUAAGGAGGAAAACACACAAAUGACAGAAGGGAGGAAAAGAUUAGUCAGUUCCAGCAUUGUACUAAAUGCCAGGCAAUGGAUUGCCACUCUAAUGCAAGUACUCUUCCAUAGGGAUUGAGUGACUGCUGGCCUUUGAUUUGUCUCUUCACUUGUCUGAGUGCUUGUAUUGUCUGUCCUUGCUUGUCAUUGCACAGCUGAAGGAGACCCCCGACGCUACGCUGCCAUCCUCAUCUCAAGCCAAGCCAGUCAUCAAAAGCUAGUCAGAUACAAACCAUGUUCUGCCUUGUUAGGUGGACCUCACUUGCAUAGAACACUCGAUCAGGGUUUCUUACAGCCUGGUCAGUUUUGUAUUAAACACUUGUUUUGGUCACAGUUUAACAGUGUGUCCUUCA